Molecule: ribosomal RNA, 468 nt
Filed under: uncultured bacterium
Lineage: Bacteria
Description: partial 16S ribosomal RNA
Rfam family: Bacterial small subunit ribosomal RNA
Source: RNAcentral
GACGAACGCUGGCGGCGUGCUUAACACAUGCAAGUCGAACGGAAAGGCCCUGCUUUUGUGGGGUGCUCGAGUGGCGAACGGGUGAGUAACACGUGAGUAACCUGCCCUUGACUUUGGGAUAACUUCAGGAAACUGGGGCUAAUACCGGAUAGGAGCUCCUGCUGCAUGGUGGUGGUUGGAAAGUUUCGGCGGUUGGGGAUGGACUCGCGGCUUAUCAGCUUGUUGGUGGGGUAGUGGCUUACCAAGGCUUUGACGGGUAGCCGGCCUGAGAGGGUGACCGGCCACAUUGGGACUGAGAUACGGACCAGAAUCCUACGGGAGGCAGCAGUGGGGAGUAUUGCACAAUGGGCGGAAGCCUGAGGCAGCAACGCCGCGUGCGGGAUGACGGCCUUCGGGUUGUAAACAGCUUUCGCCUGUGACGAAGCGUGAGUGACGGUAAUGGGUAAAGAAGCACCGGCUAACUACGUG